RNAcentral lists this non-coding RNA (28 nucleotides) under Mus musculus (house mouse). The record is from RNAcentral. Lineage: Eukaryota; Metazoa; Chordata; Mammalia; Rodentia; Muridae.
UNGAAGAGUGCUAGGGUGUGAGACAGGA